This 582-nucleotide long non-coding RNA is filed under the name Medicago truncatula (barrel medic). Its description in RNAcentral is "lncRNA gene45288". Lineage: Eukaryota; Viridiplantae; Streptophyta; Magnoliopsida; Fabales; Fabaceae. The record is from RNAcentral.
AAGGAAGUGAUUGCGUGUGGAAAUAAACAUCCACGUUUCUUCCCAAUCCCAUUUUCCACUAUGUCCCAUAUUGUUAGGAAAUAAGCUAGUGGGAGAAUUAUUAGUAACCAGUUCCUAUUCCUUUUCACACACACCCCUUUCUAUACUUUGAAGAACAAAAACAAAAUACAUAGUGAGAAAGAGAAAGAGAACGGGAAAGGGAGUCUGAAGGAGGAAAGGAAGAACAAUGAAAGAAGAGCCAAGAGAGAGCAAAGACAAUCUUGACAAAAUUAUCAUCACCAAAUGAUCGUCGAUUCGUGUUUCCUCCUUGGCGGUGACGUCAGGGAGGCAAAGUGAUAUAGUAGAAGAAGACGCUAGUGGUACAUGUUUAGAGGCUUCAUAUAUUCCGACACUGGUAUUAGCCUUGUUGAAAAAACUUUUCACAAGCAUCCACAACUUUGAUUGGCUAGGUGUAGUCUUGAGAAGGAAAAAGGUCAAGUGUCUUGUUAUUAGGGAUAAUAUAUUUUUAUGUAAAAUUCACCAUUUUGGAAAUUCAAAGAGAAUAUUAUUUAUUGUUUAUUUUAGAGUUGAUGAGUUUCACGU